CAGUCGCCGCGGGAAUACGUAGGGUGCAAGCGUUAAUCGGAAUUACUGGGCGUAAAGCGUGCGCAGGCGGUUUGUUAAGACAGAUGUGAAAUCCCCGGGCUCAACCUGGGAACUGCAUUUGUGACUGGCAAGCUAGAGUAUGGCAGAGGGGGGUGGAAUUCCGCGUGUAGCAGUGAAAUGCGUAGAUAUGCGGAGGAACACCGAUGGCGAAGGCAGCCCCCUGGGCCAAUACUGACGCUCAUGCACAAAAGCGUGGGGAGCAAACAGGAUUAGAUACCCCAGUAGUCCCUGUCUCUUAUAC
Molecule: ribosomal RNA, 301 nt
Filed under: uncultured bacterium
Lineage: Bacteria
Description: partial 16S ribosomal RNA
Rfam family: Bacterial small subunit ribosomal RNA
Source: RNAcentral